AACGCACGAGACCUGCGGACCUGCGGAGGGAUCAUUACCGAGUGUUACAGCUCCCAAACCCACUGUGAACGUACCCAUCGUUGCUUCGGCGGGACCGCCCCGGCGCCUCCGCGCGCCGGGCACGGGCGCCCGCCGGGGGCCCGAAACUCUUGCCUCCUCGCGUGGAUUCUCUGAGUGGCACGAAAAGGGAAAAUGAAUCAAAACUUUUAACAAUGGAUCUCUAGAUCGGAAGAGCACACG
RNAcentral lists this unclassified non-coding RNA (240 nucleotides) under soil metagenome. RNAcentral's name for it is "partial contains 5.8S ribosomal RNA, internal transcribed spacer 2, and large subunit ribosomal RNA". The record is from RNAcentral.